AACAUAUACUUUAAGUAACAUAAACACUUACUUCAAGUACCAUAAAUACCAACUUUACAUACCAUAAGCACUUAAGAUACAAACCAUAAACACCUUCAAUUUCACAUACUAACCAUUACAACACGUCAUAACACAUACUUCACAUACUAAAGAUUCCUACUUCACGUAUCAUACAUACCUACUUUACAUACUAAGAAACCCUAAUUUAUAUAUCAUUAACACCUACUUUAAUUAUUAUAAAUAGGAAAAGAGCAAAGAUUUUAGAGGCCCUAUUUAUUUUUGCGAUAUAUUUUAAAAUGAAGCCCUUCAUUAUAUUAUAAGAUAAAAAAUUUUCCACUUUAAGAAAAAUUAUUCAAGACAAAAUUUAUUGUAACAUUAUAUUACUUCAAAUAUAAAAAAGGUUUACAAACAAAUCAUUUAAAAAUUGUUGCUCAGAACCGGGCUUGGAUAACACUAUUUAAUAUUUGAGGCCCCAUAUUUUUGGGGGCCCUAGGCGGUUGGCUACCCUGGAUACCUUAGACCGACCAUGGUUAUAAAUAUCUAUUUUGUAUAUCUUAAGCACCUACUUCAUAUAGAUUAAACUCCUAUUUAGAUAACAUCUUCAUAUGCAAGAAACAUCUACUUUAUGUACUAAAAACCUCUACUACACAUACUAUAAACUAGGGGUGUUCAAAAAUAUCCGGUUUCGAAAACCCGAUCCGAAAACCCGCUUUCCGAUUUUUAAAACCGGGUAAAUUACCCGGUUUUCCAAAUUCGGAUAUUUCGGGUCGGGUACCCGGUUUUAUAACCGGGUAUUCGGGUCGGAUACGGAUCGCGAAUUUUGGAGAACCGGGUACCCGGUAUCCGGUAUCCGGUUUGAGUAAUUUUUUUUUUUUUUUGUUUUUCAAAUGUGAAAAAUGAAAUUGAAAACCCUAAAAAUGACUUAAUGUAUCAGAUUUCUUAAUCUGGGCCGCCUCCUAUUCCAGUUUUCUUCCUUCUUCUUCCUCCUAUUCGCCAUUCCAUAUUCUUUCUUGGCUUCUUCUUCCUCCUUCAUUCUUGCUGCUUGCUGGCUGCUGCUUGCCUUCUUCCUCCUUCACCAUUCACGCCGUCAUCUUUAAUUGGAGAAGCUGCCUCUGAUUGUUCCCGAGUCCUUCUUCGACACUUAUGACUCACACCUUAAAUGAAUUGGGAAUCGGCCCACCCUUUCUACUUUCCGGAAGUGUUAGUUUUUACCUUUGCUACAUAACCUGUUCAUCAGUGCAGCAGGUUCGUACGAAUAUCGGUCUGUCUAGAUCAGUUUAGAAGUACAAAUGUUCUUUUACUGCAUGUCUUUCACUGAUUAUUAUGUGGAACAUUAUCGGCCCGAUUCAUGGUUGGCGAGGGAGGACAGAGGGGGCAAGUGCCUUUAUUUCGAGGGGGUUCGUAAUUUGUAUGUAGGAAUAUAUGUAGAUGUUUGUAUAGCUCUGUUAUUCAGGUACAAAAAAAAAGUGUAGAAAGAAAGGAACUCCCUUUUGUUGGUAAUUUUCUGUAUCUUAUUCAAAAUGUUGAAUUUCAAGGCAUUACUGGUUUGGAAUGGAUCA
Molecule: long non-coding RNA, 1559 nt
Organism: Amaranthus tricolor (Joseph's coat)
Lineage: Eukaryota; Viridiplantae; Streptophyta; Magnoliopsida; Caryophyllales; Amaranthaceae
Exons: 2
Source: RefSeq, a predicted model, not a curated record